GUUUUGUGCAUUUACAUACAAUUUUUUGUUUCUUCCAGGCCACUAAUCCGGGUCGUUUAUUCGACGAGGAAAAUAUAGCCUACCUUGUAAAUAUGCACUAGUCAUUCAUGAGAAGAAGGCAAUGUAAGGAAUAACAAAUCCGAAAAAUGUAAGGUAAAACAUAUGAGUGUAGCCUAGCCUACACAUUGACAUUCAAACAUAGCACACAAAUUGUAGCCGAUAGUCUACGUUCAGAACCAGAACGAACCAGCUUGGUCUAGGAAACAUUACACGACUCUCCACAUUCUAAGUAGGUCGACAUAUUUCAAGGAGUACCUGUCACACAGAAAACUGCAUGUCAUUGCUAAAUAAACCUAUGUCUUCCAUAAAUGCUGACGGUUUAAGCCGACUGAGUGGCACCGAGGACCGACUGGACCGAGUGUGGGAACUUCAAAGUGUCAAAAAGUUUUGACGUGAUGAUCCUACCUGAAGCAACUCUCCGGUUUCAUUCAAGACACUACCGCGUCAGCAACAGCUGUCUUGGAGCCUGCACUAGCCUCCAAAAGGAGAGAAUUAAGUCUUCAGUAAAAGGCUUGAAGGAAGGCGAAUUUCUGUGGAGUUUGAGUUCUGUGGAAAUCUAUUUAUUUUCCUGGGCAAGGCUACGUACAAGACCUGGUUGAUUUGUAGUUCAGCAAUGUUGUUGGAACCCCCUCUGCCAUAUCAGGAGCUGUUACAGAAGGCUGAGGCCCAUACACCAGUCCUGCUUGAGAGUAAUGGAGGACACUUGAAUCAGGUUGGUCACAUUUGAUCUGGUCAAUGGUCAAAAUACUAUCAGUCCUGGAAUUCACCUAACCACCAUUGAUAAUGUAAUCAGUGCUCUGUGUAUAUGUGUGUCUUGUACUGUACGUUGUAAGAAAGCUGCCCCCUUCCAAUGGACUAUUGGGCCCAGAGUGAGUAAUGCCAACAAGUCAGUGACAUGCUGGCACGUGUCCCUUGUGAAUCAGGAUCUCUGAUUGGCUAUUUCAACUGUGUAUUUACUGUUGGCUUCCAUGACUGUAUGGUGACAGUAUUUCUCUCCCUCCCUCUGUGAUAUAGGAGCUGGGUCGGAUAUAGGAGCCGUAGUCGGGCUUCUGCAUGACCAGUAUCUGUGAUGAGAGGGACCUGGAGCUGAUCUACGCUGCCAUGCCAAUCAGGCGUUGGCAAACGCCUCAAAAGGGACAAACAAACAGUGAUUACUAAUAAGACAGUACAUCAUAUCACCCUUUCAAUGUGUCACUCAUCAACUCUUCCUUGGUUUUCUACAGAUGGGAAGAAGAGUUGCUUUUCAGAUGGAGUCCUCUGACUGAAAGACAGGUUAAUACUGAUGUCAGAAUUGGGAGAGACCUUGCAACUCAGCAUAACAUUUUUACAAGACAUCUAUUACUUUUUGUCUUUUUUUAUUAGAUAAUCUAUUGGUACUAGCAGAACACUGCUUCUACAGUAUUAUGUAAAGUAAGGUUUAUUCUACAUGGAACUGUUACACUUGAAUGUUAUCAAAAUACUUUGUUUAGAAUAUCUACAAAAGUUCAGCAAUUGAACUCUUCUCAUAUUACUCUGUAGGCUACUGCCUGAUGAAUUGUCAGUUACCUACUGAGUAGUAUGAGUGCGCCAUCCUCCUGCAUCUCACAUCUGCCUGUACUGUAGUUAUUGAACUGCUGGACCCAUUGGUUGAGGCAAAAUCUGUCAUAUCCAGGUUGGAGUAUCAUGCACUCCACCCCUCCUGCCACCUGACUUUACCUAUCCAUAACCUGUAAUACAUUACAUAGAUGGAAGGAACUUCAUCACCCAGAGAGCUGUGCAUGUCAGUGUGUGGUUAGAUAGCCAAAUCCUUAGAUAUGGCUAAAUAGAAUGCUGUUCUGGUUAGACAGCUGAAAUUGUACUCUACACACAACUUUUUUUAUUUGCUAGGUAAGUGUAGGCAUACUAUCUUUAUAUGCACAUCAAUAUGAUAUUUACAGCAUAACAUGUUUUGUCUUUGUAACAUGAACACCCAUCGGUUUUUGUUGAUUAAUGCAUGUACAGUACACUCAAGCUGGGCAAUGUUUGUGCAAUAUUCACAUGUAGCCUACACCUGUUGUAGGGAUAUUAGUAGUUCUGGGAUUUGUCCCCUGGGAAAGAUCUAACAGCGGACAUAAGGAGAGAGGAGACAACUAGUCAGUUAGAAUAUUGUGUUGUAGGACAGCUGAGCUGACUCAAGAACGGGCCUUCAACACGCUGUUAAUAUAGUUUCCAUGGUAACAUGUAUCUACAUGACGUGAUGAAACUGCUUUGCAAGCUACUUUCGUAGCAAGGUGUUAUAGAAGGAUUGUCUCAUGAAACAAAUUCCAGACACUGGCUCUUGCUAUCUUGCCAUAACUGAUUUGACAGAGAAAUAUCAGCUAGAUAGGAUGGCCAGCUGCAGCUAUCACCAAAUCUAUGCUAGCUAGCUGCUGUCAGCUUGGCACAGGGUUAGCGCUGACUCUUGAGAUGGCGAGUCAAUCAGGAGGGGAGAAGUCCUCAACUUCAAAACGUUCUCUCCAUAGCAACGCUAUCUUAGCUAACCUUUCUCUACCCACUACUGCCCUUGUUUUUUUUGUGCU
This is a long non-coding RNA of Oncorhynchus mykiss (rainbow trout), 2597 nucleotides long. Lineage: Eukaryota; Metazoa; Chordata; Actinopteri; Salmoniformes; Salmonidae. The record is from Ensembl.